This 399-nucleotide long non-coding RNA is filed under the name Zea mays. RNAcentral's name for it is "long non-coding RNA (ZMAY_LNC001385)". Lineage: Eukaryota; Viridiplantae; Streptophyta; Magnoliopsida; Poales; Poaceae. The record is from RNAcentral.
GUGAAAAUGAUUAAACAAGAAAGUAUUCCAUAAACAUCACUGAUUCAUUGGGACCGACAAGGCGACAAAUCGUUGGCCCUACUUGCGUCAAGAAUGCACAUGCAAAUCAAAUAAUAAUGGUAUGGUACUGCUGGAGAUGUCAUGUCAUGCAGUGCACAAACCGACCAAAUAACAACAUGAGAUGCAACCAUAUAUAAAAGGAGUAUUCAUUCAUUAGCACCACUUCCCCAUAUAGAAUGAUCGUCAUUAUAUUCAUCGCCAACACUGAUGCUUCCAUAAACAUAACAGCACAAGCAAAAGCAUCCAACUACAGCCGGCUGUAGGUUUCCAGUAGUUUCAGAUUAUCCGGAGUUCUUAGCAUGUAACAUCAUUAAAAAAAAACAAAACUCUCUAGUUAAU